AGUUCGACCCACUCCUCCUUGAUAACUUAUCCUUCUUCCUGAUCGAUCGGCUGCGCUUAGAUUUACACACAUAGUAUGUCAUUGUUCCGAGAACACCGGCCAUGAUCACUCCACCUAUCAUCGUCACGAGUAUCGCUGCCCACUUGAAAUGCCGACCCACCACAAUAUAAGACGAAGCGAUAAAGGCAACAGUCGUGCACACAGAUGCCAGCCACAUCAACUUGUUGAUCACCUCG
Molecule: unclassified non-coding RNA, 236 nt
Filed under: Hevea brasiliensis (rubber tree)
Lineage: Eukaryota; Viridiplantae; Streptophyta; Magnoliopsida; Malpighiales; Euphorbiaceae
Source: RNAcentral